This 30-nucleotide non-coding RNA is filed under the name Mus musculus (house mouse). The record is from RNAcentral. Lineage: Eukaryota; Metazoa; Chordata; Mammalia; Rodentia; Muridae.
UUGGCUGUUACAGACCUUAAAAUAUCUACA